CACUGGCUCAAGUCAGUCACUAUGAGACACCUGGGAAAACUGCGCCACCUUGUGGCUCCACUGCCUGAUGACUGAACUGACCUCCAGGCUUGACUCUGGUCUCCCCUGUGUUAUUUCUGCUGAAGUACCCAGUCCCAGGCCAGGCUUUCCAGUACCCAAAGGGUUUAAGGACAAUGGGAAGUUCCAUCAUCCAUCUCUAGGAUGUCCUUGGAAAGGGAAGCUGCAGAGAAAACAU
RNAcentral lists this long non-coding RNA (235 nucleotides) under Homo sapiens (human). RNAcentral's name for it is "HSALNT0398091". Lineage: Eukaryota; Metazoa; Chordata; Mammalia; Primates; Hominidae. The record is from RNAcentral.